GCGCACUUUGUCAGCACACACACUAAAUUUAGGACGACACAGAGAAGAUUGGCAUGGCUUCUGCACAGUGGGUAUGCAAAUCUGAAACAUUCCAUAUUUUC
Non-coding RNA from Mus musculus (house mouse), 101 nucleotides. The record is from Rfam. Lineage: Eukaryota; Metazoa; Chordata; Mammalia; Rodentia; Muridae.